UACGUAGGUGGCAAGCGUUGUUCGGAAUUAUUGGGCGUAAAGGGCGUGUAGGCGGCUUUGUAAGUUAGGGGUGAAAUCCCGGGGCUCAACCUCGGAACUGCCUUUGAUACUGCAAAUCUCGAGUCCGAUAGAGGUGGGUGGAAUUCCUAGUGUAGAGGUGAAAUUCGUAGAUAUUAGGAAGAACACCGGUGGCGAAGGCGGCCCACUGGAUCGGUACUGACGCUGAGGUGCGAAAGCGUGGGGAGCGAUCCAG
RNAcentral lists this ribosomal RNA (253 nucleotides) under uncultured bacterium. RNAcentral's name for it is "partial 16S ribosomal RNA". It matches the Rfam family "Bacterial small subunit ribosomal RNA", at positions 524 to 776 of the family's 1533-position model. The record is from RNAcentral.